GGCAUGGUUGGUAGCGUGGGAAGAUGGAGAAAGAUUACGGAAGGGCAAAUUAUGUCAGAUUCAAAGGCACUUGAAUUGAAAAAGGGCAAAGAGAUGACUGUGUCAAAGACCAAAGUGACAUUAUUUUUUAGUUAGAAUUAGUAAAACGAUGUCGUAAUGAGAUACAAGUAAAAAGGGUCACGGUGAUGUCAUCAAAAUGACGUCGUAUUGGAUGAAAAUAUGAACACUGUAUAGACGUUCACUCUUAUAAGUUUGUAUUGUAUAGAAUACGAAUUCGAAAAAGAAUGGACACCCAAUAUAUGCACAAUUAAACAAGUCCUUCCAAUUCAAGAUGGGGAAAGGUCAUUUACAGAAAAUAUAUGCUCUCCCCAAGGCCAUCAAAAGCACACCUGCAUGAAGUGAUUUUUAAGUGAAACCAGCAUGACCUCAAAGGUAAAGGAAGGAGAGGGGGGAAAAACACAAAAUUUGCAACCAAGUUGUAAUUUGGUAAUGAAUGAGAUUAUCACAAUGGAUAAUCAAUAUCAGUAUGCUCAAACAUAGGAAGAGGCAAAAUAUGUUACCAGUGACCCCAUAUUGAAAGACAUACAUGCAGCGAGGAGGCUCCACUGUGUUACAGGAUGUGUAUAAAAUCCAAAUUAAAAUCCAUAAUAUUAUGCACCAACAUAUUUACAGGAAAUGCAAACGUAAUUGCAAGUUAACCAUUAAAUUGGCUCAACUUAAUUAUAAAGAUAGAAAAGUUACAAUAAGACUAAUAGCAAGCAUCUCCAAUAUUUAAUAAAAGAAAGCCAACUGGACCUUCUUUUCCAGAUAGAACUAUGAUCUCGAACUCCAUGCAGAUAACUGGGUCUAUACUUGAAAAUUUUACUUUCUUCCAAAGUCAUAGCUAUCUUACCAAAAAUUAAUUAUGGAUAAUAAUUACUCCUAAACAACUCCAACAAUAUAAAUGAUUCGAGGAAUAAAACUGGCCUUAAUCAGAACCAUUGGGAAAUUCGAUACGUUAAUAAUGGAGGCCCAAUAUAUGGUUAUGAGCAUGAAAUAAAAUAAUUUUCCUACAAUAACAUACUUCAAGAUCCCAUGACAGGAGCAUAAACACUUGUAUAGAUAUGCCACAAUCAAAAGAGCUAGCAUUGGAACAAAUUGAGUUAUUAACAUCCAAAAUUAAGAGACCUUGUUGACUCCUAGUGUUCUUGAAGGAUUAUUUUUCUAGGAUAAUUGCCCAAGCUCAAUAACAAUUUUCCUAGGAAAAAAAAAAAUCAAAUGCAAGUGUGUGCAUAUCCAACAUAGAAACUCAGGCAACAAAGAUUAAUCAUCACCAUUUUUUGUUCCAACAUUUAUUUCAAAAAAAAAAAAAAUGUAAGAACAAAUCAACAGAUCAUAUAUAAAAAAACAGAAAUGAUAUACUUUGAGAAUUUCUGAUAAGUGCAUUUUGUGCACUUAUAUAGACUGUAUUACUAAGUUUUUUAUGUCAUGAAAGUGUUGAUUGUUACUUAACUUGGGUAAUUUUCCGUUUAUUUCAGUGAUAGACCGAUUUCUAAGGAAUUCGAAAAGAAAAAGGGGAAAAUCCAAAGUAUAAGGACUAAAUUGUAACAUUUCAAUAGUUGAUUCGGAUCACAAAAUGAAGAUUAAAGAUGUUUUAGGUUCAACUGGAUGCAAUUAAAAGUGAAAGGGUUGAAAACGCAAGAGAACGGACUUGAAAGAAUCAAGAAUCGACUUCGGGGGCUAAAAUGUAACAUUCGGGAGUUUUUUUAUAACUGAGCGACAUCCCAGUUAUAAAUUCAAAAUUUAAUUACCGAGGCAAAAAUCCAUGCAUGGGUGACUGCCCGGGUUUUGCACCUAGGUCAAUCGCGGUGAGAAAAAUCUGGUUUCCUUUUCUGAUUGAAAUUCUUAUGAAAACAAAUUUUGGAAAGUCUUUUAAAGCUCUAGGGACUUCAAAAAACAUACACCACGCAUUAUAACACAUUCAUAAGGGUUUUUAGAGAGGAGAACAAGGCAAAAACGAGGAGAUUGACAUCAAGAUGCAAGGAUUCAAUUCAAGAUUUAAAGUGGUGAUGUUUUUCUUCAUUAUUUAAUUUGCUUUCUUCUUCCCACCAUGUUAGGCUAGAUUUUUAUAUGCUAGGAGAUGAUGAACUUUGUAAUGUGAUUCUUAAUUCCUUGUUUCAUAUUUUUGACAUUAAAACACGUUUGAUUAUUUUGAAUGGUUUAUAUGCAUUUAAUUUCUUCCAUAAUUAUUGGGCCUGUAAUUGUGUGUGGUAAUCUAUUUCUUGCAUUCGAGAGAAGGGGAAUAGGUUCGACAAUGCAAUUGUAGGGUCCGAUAGGGGAUAGGGAUAUACCGCUAUGCUCUGCGUAAAUCUUUAAGUGCACACAAAACUACAUGUAUUCUUGUAUAUUUGCACCUGUCAUGGAGAUAUAGGCCGGUGAUAUAUGAGAGUGGGUUCAAUUUUGCUCGAGAGAGAUUGUUGGAAAGAUAUAGGGACAUUGAUUCUUCAUAAUUUCAACGUGUUGUCAAAUUAUAGAACUAAGGUUAAAUUGAGCAUUGCUUGGGGAUUCGUGAUCCUAGUCCACUUUACAUUCAUUAAUUACAUCAAUCUUGCAUUUAAAAUGAAACUUUGCAUUUUAAAUCAUUAAAUUCACAUGCAAUAGCACAUUUAAUUUAGGUUAGGAUUAAUCAAGUCACAUUGAUCUUGUUAGAUAAUUUGGUUUUCGGUUAAGGGUGAGAUAUAUAAAAUUAAGUUACUCUAUCUCUGUGGGACGACAUUCGGACUCUAAAAUUCACUUUAUUACUUGUUACGAACCGUACACUUGCGGAUCAAAUCAAAAGAAUAAUUUCGUGAACAAGUUUUUGGCGCCGCUACCGGGGAUUGAGUAUUAGUUUGAUUUUAUUUUUUAGGCUCUAAUUAGAACUUUAAUUUUUAAUUUUUGUUUUUAUUUUCCAAAAUUUUUUUAGCCUAUUUUAUUUUAUUCUCUUUAGAUAUUCAAUUGUUUGAAUCUGAGUACUGCUACAGGUUUUCUCGCAGAGUUGCAUGCUAAGAUCGAAUGAUCCUGAAAUUAAGUGCACCUUUCAUCAACCACAAAGAUAGGCUAGAGAGGCAUAGUUACAAAUGGCUAAUGAACCGAACAACCCUAUUGUCCCAGCCAAUGAAGGAGAGGCGGUAGACGAAGAAAAUGAGAUUUUGGGAGAUUUCUUGACUCCUCAAGUAAUUCAAAGCCAAUCCAGCAUAGUGUAUCCACCGUUUGGGCAACCUAAUUUUCAAUUGAAGACUAAUGUGAUACAGCUGCUCCAGAAUGGACACCAAUUUUAUGGAAGAGCCGAAGAAAAUCCAAAUACAUACAUAUUUCGAUUCUUGGAUAUGUGUCAACACUUCAGGUAUCAAGAAAUUUCGGAUGAUGCUAUUAGGCUAAGGUUAUUUCCACAUAUACUAUGGAAUAGGGCACUUGAAUGGUUGCAUUCACUUUCUCUUACAAGCAUUAGUGCUUGGAACGAGUUGGCUCAUAAAUUCUGCACGAAGUUCUUCUCGCCAGCCAAGAUAGCAAAACUGAGACUUGAUAUAUCAACAUUCAUUAAAGGAGAAUCUGAAUCAUUUGAGGAAGCCUAGAAUAGAUUUAAAAACAUACUCCAGAAGUGCCCUCAACAUGGGUUUGACAAAAAGACCUAAAUUCGAUUCCUCUAUAUAGGGUUAUUUCCGUACCACAAAAGCAUGAUGGAUUCAGCAUCAAAUGGCUCAAUACCCACACGAACAGUUGAUGGGGCAUUGGAAUUAUUCUAGAGAGUGGCUACCACUUCAGCCAUGUGGUCUUCUGAGAGGGUGAUCCUAAGGAAGACUCUGGGGGUCCACGAGAUAGAUACUUAUUCGGAUAUAUCUACAAAGAUCGACUACCUGUAUCACAAGGUGGAAAGCAUAUCACAGGCAGCACAAGUUAAGAAGCGCAACUGUGAGGAAUGUGGAGCUGAGCAUAAAACUACAGAAUGCCCAAUCUUAAUGCAAGAAAUUGAGCGGGUAGACUAUGCACAGUGGGGACAAUGCCAACAGAACAAUUUGUAUGGGAAAACAUACAAUCCCAAUUGGAAGAAGCAUCCCAAUUUCUCUUGGAGCAACCAGAAUCAGAAUAUGCCAUAGGGACAGUUUCAAUAGCAAGAGAAGAGGCCUCAAUUGGAAGAGAUAUUAGGGAAAUUCAUGGAAAAAGCCGAAGCCACUCUUCAAAACUAAAAUGCCACCAUCAAAAAUUUGGAGACUCUGUUGGGACAGCUAGCCAUUGCAUUGACUGGUAGAGCACCGGGUAAUUUGCCAAGUAACACAGAAAUUAUCCCCAAGGAGCACGCUAAGGUAAUUACAACUCGAAGUGGGGUACAACUACCUAAAAUACAUGUCAAAAGGCCGGUGGUGUAUAAGAAUAGGUUCAAUACAUCUCGAGAGAGAGUUUUGGAUAGAUUUAAGAGCAUUGAUUCGUCAAAAUUCAACGCGUUGUCAUUUUGUGAAACUAGGGUUUAGGGUGAUCAUUGCAUGGAGAUUUGCAUCCUAGUGCGUUUAUUUUUCAUUGAACACAACCAAUUUGCGUUCUAAACCCACUAGGUGCCUAAGUGCAUAUAAGUCUUUUUGUUAAUAGCCAGUGGAAAAAUCAUUUUGAGUACUUUCUUUCUUUUGAUAAAAAUUAAAUUUGAAUAAAAAAUUUAUUCUUCUCUAAGAGCUUACUUUUAGAUGAAGUGGUUCAUAUAGUACAAGCAAGGGUCCUAAUUUCAAAACAAAAUGGCACAUUUUUUUAAAUUGUGCUCGUCUUGGGCCUCAGAUGAGAAAUUAAUUCUUCAUGCACUUGAGGGGGCAUGUUGAAUAAGUAAAUAUAUACAUUCUCCAAUGACUUAUGCUUUUAGAUAUAUUGGUUCCACAUCUUUUUUUAUGGGUAUAUUAAUACCAAAUUAAUUGCACUUAUAGCUGGGUAUUAUUAAAAUGAUAUCAACAUGUAGCUAAAGAUUUACCUCGAGUCCUAACUAAGUUCAAAUGCUCACCAGUCACCACUAUAGCUUACUACAAAACAAUGAUUUUCAUUGAUCAAGCCAUCCCAUGUACAAUCAUAGUUUCUCCAACAUAAUAAUAUAUGUCCAUCAAACCAUCACAUAUGGCUCAAUUUACUUCAAUACGAUAUUAUAAUUUUCGGCAACAAUCUUCUUUUGCACACAAUAGAAUGUUAUAAUGCAAUUCAAUUCCACAUAAUAACAUUCCUCUUCCCCCCCCACCCCUCCCCCAAAAAGUAGCGUUAAUGAGCUACAAUGUCACAUGGCAAGUUAUCGAGGAUGUCUCAAAUGUCUAUAUGUGGAGAUAUAAAUAAGCUCAAUUUGAUGCACGAUAAGAUUUUUAGAAAAUGAUGCACCACAAUAACAAAGCAUGCAAUGUUAUCAUAGAUCACAGAAGUGGUGAGAACAUGGUACCUAAAGCAUUAGUUAAAGGGAGCGAAAAAUAUAAUAAGGAGGUAUGUAAAAUUCUACUUUUUAUUGAAAAAUAAUUAAAGAUGAGAUUGUAAAUGUGAUAAAAAUGAAUGGUUGUCACGAACAUCGGCAAAAUCAUGAUACUGUGAUGUAGAUGCUACAUACAUAGCCAAAGAUAACAAUUAUGUGUUUGGUAGUGGUCCAAUAAGAAGAUUAUUUGUUGCCACUUAAGAAACUAUUUGCCAAUAUCACUCUAAACACAGACAGAGCAAACAAUUUACUCAGCGGAUGACACGAUUGAAAAAGACGUUCCAAAUGACUUAGAUAUUACCAACCUUGAUAAUGCAGUAGAGGUAGAAACGUAAGUGUAAUAAGAAAACUAGAAACUUGCAAAAAGUUUUAUUUAUUGUCCCCUAUUUAGAAAGUGAACCAACAAAAGUUAUUAACGCAUUUUUAAAAAUGAGAGACUAUAAAACCUAGAAAUUGAAGCAGCAAGGGAACAAGAAUCAAUCCACUUUCCUCUCAGACACCAUACCCACAUCACAUUUCACACAAUUAGUAAAUGAAUAAAAUCCAUAAGUUAUUUACUUCCAAAGUUUUCUAAGGGAAUGUCUUAUAAUUUGUUUGGAUCUCAACCAUUGUGGCCCGAACCCAUACUUCCCACUGGCCACCCUACUUUUCAUAGGUAAGAUUGUUCCCAGGGAAAUCUCCAGAGCUAUUUCCCUUCCUUACAGUUCCAAAGAUUUUUUUGUCCUGAACCAUCUCUACUUUUACUUAAUGUUAUCAAAUCUCAAGCUACCAACAACCUCCUUGCUAAAAGCCUCAUAUUUUUUCCCAAAAUGGCAACAUUACUAUAUGGUAUCCUAAACAGUGUCAAGCAUCACAAAAAGACAUGUGAAAUAAAGAAAAUGGGGUAUAUGUAAGUUUUAUAUCCCAUCUUUAGUAACUCCACAAAAUCAUACAUGAGAAGAUUAAUAGGCUUACUUUGGACUUCCAUUAUAUUGUUCCAAUUUAUCUAAUCAUUAGUGAAGAAUCAAUGCCAAAUAUUUACCAAGCAUGAUCUUGGACCAUAUAAAAUAUGUAAAUUGUUUAAAGAUUUUCAGUUACAACAUUCGAUAAACAAAUGUUUAGUUUAUAUGUUGUUAGAUAGACCUUUAGCUAAAUGACAAAAUCAACACACACACAAGUAUAGUGCAGUAGAAGGAAUCAUGUAGUAGGAUAUCUCAUCCAACAUAUCUGAAUCUUGAGUCCACCGUACUUUACUGCCAGUUAUAAAUUUGCUGGAUGAAAUGCUAGCUUUUAGGAAUAUGUAACAGGAACAUGACUCAAGAAUCAUAACAUCUACAUGGCAAUGACCCAAGGGAUGCAUGAAAUUUUCAGAAAUUAGCAGCAGAUAAUCAUUUUAUAGGAUAUCAUGUCCGGACUUAGCAUAAAGCAUAAUAAAAUCUGAGCUCUCAUGUGAUUGUCAAGUGAUGAAAUCAACUUGGUUAUCAGCCCAUUGUGUGCGGUAGUCCUCAAAGAUAUUUCAUUUGCAAAGCAAAGAAUUUGAAAGCUGAACAUAAUGAAAGUCUUCCUUGGAGGCAUAGACUAGUGAGAGUACAAUAACUUAAAAUUCUCUACAUGUCAUUAACAUAAGCAUAGGGAUCAAAUUGCUCAAUAACCAUAGUUUAAGGACCAAUUUAUAUAGAGACUAAGGUUCGGGGACAAAUUACACAUCAAUUAUAAUUUAGGGAUCGUAUUGCAUAUCUGUGAAAGUUUAGAGUCAAGUUUUAUACCCGUCCAUAGUUGAGGGACUAUAGCAUAUAUAUGUAGCAUCCAUGUACAUGGUAAGAAAUAAUUAUGUUUUUAUUAUGGUAAGGAAUAAAUGCAAAUUUAGGUAAUUACCAUAUAUAAUAUGUACGUAUAUGUUAACUACGAUAAUUAAAAGAAAUAAUUAAGGAAACUUUCCUUUUUAUUUAAUUAUACCAAAAACCGAAAAGGUAAUUACCAUAUAUAUUAUGUACAUAUAUGUUAACUACCAUAAGUGAAUGAUUCAAUUAAGGAGACUUUCCUUUUCUUAUUCAAUCUUACCAAAACGUAUAUGUUAAUUAUCGUAAUUAAAAUGAUUAAUUAAG
RNAcentral lists this long non-coding RNA (7530 nucleotides) under Olea europaea subsp. europaea. Lineage: Eukaryota; Viridiplantae; Streptophyta; Magnoliopsida; Lamiales; Oleaceae. The record is from RNAcentral.